CCCGAGCAACCCCUGUCGCGACCCCCACUGGCUGCAGAGGGACAGCAGCGGUGCGGGAGGAGGCCAGGGUCCAGCGGGGUCGGGGACCCGCCCGGGAGAGGCCUCGGCCGAGGGAGUGUUAGAGCCGCUGUUCCCUGUCUCAGUCCGUUGGUCCUGGUGCAGCAAUAUCCAUCCCGUGAGCCCGCUUGGAACCUGUGCCCGACGCUUCCCAGUUCCUUCUUGCAGACUCUUAAACUGCACGGUCUGUUGUGGCAUCAAGAAGGCUGCUCGAGAUGAGGUCAAGAGAGUAGCUGCUAAUGAUGAACUGAACUUUUGGAAGGAUUGUCCAUUACAACUGCCUGAUAUUUCAACUACAGAAACCCACUCCUCCAGAAUGACACCAUCAGCCACUUUAAGAACAUUGCUCUUGGAGAAUGUCCUCAAGUGUUCAGUAUUGUCUAGCUGUUUCUGAAGUUUUUAUCCACCCAGAAGCUAGGGUGCAGAGAAUCCGAAGUCUACCUGUUGCUUGAUGUGAAGAAUACAGAUUUUAAAAUUUUCUGAACAACAAUAUAGCACACUAUAACACCUAGUCCUCAAAAUAAAAG
Molecule: long non-coding RNA, 584 nt
Organism: Heterocephalus glaber (naked mole-rat)
Lineage: Eukaryota; Metazoa; Chordata; Mammalia; Rodentia; Bathyergidae
Source: Ensembl